UUCCAGACUCCUACGGGAGGCAGCAGUGAGGAAUAUUGGUCAAUGGGCGGAAGCCUGAACCAGCCAAGUCGCGUGAGGGAAGAAGGCCCUGCGGGUCGCAGACCUCUUUGGACGGGGAGCAAGGCCGCCGACGUGUCGGCGGAAGGAGAGUACCCGUAGAACAAGCAUCGGCUAACUACGUGCCAGCAGCCGCGGUAAUACGUAGGGAGCGAGCGUUGUCCGGAAUUACUGGGUGUAAAGGGAGCGUAGGCGGGCGAGAAAGUUGAAUGUUAAAUCUACCGGCUUAACUGGUAGCUGCGUUCAAAACUUCUUGUCUUGAGUGAAGUAGAGGCAGGCGGAAUUCCUAGUGUAGCGGUGAAAUGCGUAGAUAUUAGGGGGAACACCAGUGGCGAAGGCGGCCUGCUGGGCUUUAACUGACGCUGAGGCUCGAAAGCGUGGGGAGCAAACAGGAUUAGAUACCCGGGUA
Molecule: ribosomal RNA, 466 nt
Filed under: uncultured bacterium
Lineage: Bacteria
Description: bacterial SSU rRNA
Rfam family: Bacterial small subunit ribosomal RNA
Source: RNAcentral